GGUGCUUGGAGACAUGAGUUUCUGAAGAACUACUUGUUUCCUUCUGUAUAUAAGGUGCUUAUUCUCUGUAAUGGUACUUUUCAGCCUUCUUCAUUUUACUCUGUAAAUGAGUUAAGGGUCUGCAGCACUAGUGCACGACUGAAUAUUUUCAUGCAUAAAUAUUUAUUUUUUGUGAAAGGAAGUUUAGGUAAGUUGGGUCUAUGCAAGAAUGUUGUUUACCUGAUCUCACAGAUAAGAGGCUUGUGGAAACAAUAAUUUUCUUGGUGUAUGCAGAGAAAUGGGAUGCUUUCCCCUAAAUUCUUGCUUCUGGAUGUAAGCAAUUUUGUUUCUAGGAUUUCUUCAAUAAGGGGAGGUAUACACACACACAAUUAAUUGUAGAUUUCUUCUUAGUAAUAAAUGCAUUUACACAAAUUUGAAACACCUUAACUUUUCAUCUCUUUGCUUGUGAAUAUAAAUAGGCUGCUUCUCCAUGAAUGUACUUAUGUGAAACUUUGAUUAGUCCAUUGGAUGAAGAUAUUGUUUGGUAUUUUGCAAUCUCAUGAUCUUAACACGUAAUUCUAAUAUAGCAAAUUGGCCCCUCCUGUUGUUCUGCUGAGAAAAGGUGAUAUGAUUUAUUGUGUAGGAAUAAUCCUUUGGUGCUUGAUCAAUUGAGACAUGACGCUGCUCUGAAAGUUGAAAGUUUACUUUGUUUUGGAAUCUGGCAAAUGAGAAAUUGAUAACUCCCCAUAUGGAGUAUAACUGUGAUACGAUAAGAGAAGACUUCUUUUCAUUAACUUAACUCGUGAUACUUGUAAAAAAAAUACUCGUUUUCUUAUCACCGAUGUGUUUUUUGGGUUUAUUCAAACCAUUUAAUAGAGUCUGAUUGCACAAACCAUUAAAGUUUGACAUCUUUUUUUGGUGAACUAAACUAUAAUAUCUGGUGUGUUCUGAGUUUUGUAUCUUGCAUGCUAAGAUAAACGUUUGUUUUAAAAGAAGGGUAAUUGAUUUAUUACGGUUUAAAUAUUAAUAAUGUUUACUUUUAUUUAUCAAGAGAAAAACUUGCAUGUAAUAAAAGUUGGACUCAGAUUAACAAUUUUGUGCUAGAGUCUAUAUUAUGCAUUCAUUGAUUACAAUGUUUAUACAUUCAGCAGGCCCUAACUAUAUGAUGAAAUUACUAAUCUCAUGGAAUCCAUUUAGUAAUACACUCGAAGGCAUGCAUUGAAAGGGGACAAGUGACUUGAAGAAAGCAAAACUGCAAAAUAGCAGCGCAAGGAUGUUUUUGUAGGAAAGUUUCAGAUAUGUGCCUGGCACCUAUCACAGGUUAGAUUUCUAUAGAUUGUUAGAUUUUGUGUCUUAUUUGCACAUGUGGGAAUUGGGAUGAAUGUCAAAUAUUAUAGCAUCAUUUAUGAGCUACAUCUCUAGGAAAGAGGAAAAUGUAAUUUAUUGUUAGCUGCAUGCGAACACAGAAAACCUAUUUGUCAAUUAACUGUUUUUUCUAUUUCUGUGGUCGGAAUGAAGCUGGCAAUGGUAACCAGGAAAUGCAAAUAUUUAUGUCCAUAAUAUACUUCUCUCUAUUUCUGUGGCCGGAGUUUGAAUAAAAUAUGUCAGCACAAUCGCCGACUACCUUUUUAUAAUUUUGUUGUAGCCUUGUAGGCCUCCCAAACUAUUAACCUCUCAUACAUAUAGAUUUCAAAUUAAUACAUUUAUGUUAAGAAAUAUUAAUAUAUUUACCUCAGC
This 1716-nucleotide long non-coding RNA is filed under the name Lupinus angustifolius (narrow-leaved blue lupine). RNAcentral describes it as "long non-coding RNA (LANG_LNC000935)". Lineage: Eukaryota; Viridiplantae; Streptophyta; Magnoliopsida; Fabales; Fabaceae. The record is from RNAcentral.